UGCUGUGUGGGUCAGACUUCAUAGCUUUAAGGAUACUUCCAAUUUUAAAAUUGAUAAUGUCAAGUUUUUUAUAUCCUUGAAUUAUAACUGGCUUAUAUGUGUGCAUUUUUGUAUAGGAGUUAAAAGGUGUGAGUAACAGAGAAUAUGUACUCUUGUGGAAGACAGAAGCCUAGCAAGACCCCUGUUUUUAGUAAAACAAAUCCCAUGAAAGACUGUGGAGAAGAUAAGGAUUACUUAGGACUGUCUUCAGCAGAGGUGAAGUCUGAUCCACCGAUAUGUAYGAACAAGAAAUGUUAUUUGAAAAAGAAAUGAAAACAAACAAAAUCGCUGUCUACUGCCUACCUUCAGAUACAAAGAACCUGAUCCUGUGAGAUACCAAGUAUCCUGAACCGUGGCAAAGUCAACAGCAGCURAGACCCUAGCAGAUCACUUCUGGCUGGUCUGGUGAUAAAACCUGUGCCUCAAACAUAGCAGAGUCUCUGCUGUUUGUAUAUCUUCC
RNAcentral lists this long non-coding RNA (499 nucleotides) under Dromaius novaehollandiae (emu). Its description in RNAcentral is "lncRNA (ENSDNVG00000002003.1)". The record is from RNAcentral. Lineage: Eukaryota; Metazoa; Chordata; Aves; Casuariiformes; Dromaiidae.